Molecule: ribosomal RNA, 254 nt
Filed under: uncultured bacterium
Lineage: Bacteria
Description: partial 16S ribosomal RNA
Rfam family: Bacterial small subunit ribosomal RNA
Source: RNAcentral
CCGCACGGUAAACGAUGGAUGCCCGCUGUCCGGCCCCUGGGUCGGGCGGCCACGCGAAAGCCUUGAGCAUCCCACCUGGGGAGUACGCCGGCAACGGUGAAACUCAAAGGAAUUGACGGGGGCCCGCACAAGCGGAGGAACAUGUGGUUUAAUUCGAUGAUACGCGAGGAACCUUACCCGGGAUUGAAAUGUAGGAGUUAGAUGAUGAGAGUCAUUGUCCCUUCGGGGCUCCUAUGUAGGUGCUGCAUGGUUGU